UCUCCGUUGGUGAACCAGCGGAGGGAUCAUUACUGAGCAUGUUGAAAAACCUGCUAAACCCAUGUGAACAUACCUGAAAGUUGCUUCGGCGGGCAGCCCCAGGGCGGGGCUGUGGCCUUUAUAGGUGCCCGCCGACAGCACCAAAGCUCGUUAUUUUCAGUUGCUCUGAGUAGUAAAACAAUAAGUAAAAACUUUCAACAACGGAUCUCUUGGCUUUGGCAUCGAUGAAGAACGCAGC
RNAcentral lists this unclassified non-coding RNA (238 nucleotides) under uncultured fungus. RNAcentral's name for it is "sequence contains ITS1, 5.8S rRNA gene". The stretch from base 190 to 238 matches the Rfam family "5.8S ribosomal RNA", at positions 1 to 49 of the family's 154-position model. Lineage: Eukaryota; Fungi. The record is from RNAcentral.